Long non-coding RNA from Callithrix jacchus (white-tufted-ear marmoset), 1019 nucleotides. RefSeq lists it as uncharacterized. The record is from RefSeq and is a predicted model, not a curated record. Lineage: Eukaryota; Metazoa; Chordata; Mammalia; Primates; Cebidae.
AGAUAAUGGACAACAAAAAAUCAUCUGAAAUCAGGGAGAAACUCUGUAUUGUCUGUUCUCAUACUGUUCUUUAGAACUACCUGAGACCAGGGACUUCACCAGUGCUGCCAUGCUGGCCCCAUGAUGUGAGUGGGACCCAGACCAAGAAGUGCUGAGGACAAGGCCUGAAGCUGCUUAUCAACAAGGUGCAUACUUUGGACUUCAGGGGAGCAGAAGAUAACUUGCCACUCUACCACACGCACGGUGACCACAAGAUCGUAGAGGUGACAUGCCUCUCUCCACUAGAGAGAAGAGCUUUCCUUGGUUUACGAUAGCUUUGGCUGUAUCUUUGUUUACCAUCCCUUUAGUAAGGAGAUAUGACUAUUGCCUAAACAUACCGUUUUUUUCUUUUUUAAAGUAGGCUAUCUAUUUAUUGAGCUCAUUUUUUCCUUGCUAAAUGAUAUUAUUAUUCUCUCACAUAUUGCCCUGGAACUUGCUUAUCCCCUACUGAAUAAAUGUGUGGCUUUUCUUUCUCCAAUCUAAAAUCAGUGUUAUUCAUGUGCAACGUUGUUGCCUAAUUUUGAGUCUUAUUUACAAAAUGACUUGUAAAUAAGAAUUAGAUCCCAAAGAAAAUUAUUCCGGCUAAUUCUAAAUCUUUGAAAGUUAUUUCUAUGCUUUAGUUGUACUCUGUGAGGAUUUAUUACGGCCUUCUAGAGCUUUCUAGAAUUUGACAGAGAAGAAACAGCCUGAAAACCAACCUUUUGAGUAAGGUCAGAUAUUACUCAUAGGAGCUCACACACUUAGAUUCUUUUCUAAAUCCUAGGUUUGCUUUAGAGGACACAUAUCGAUCAAGCAUAUUGAUUAAACUUCAAUGAGAAGUUUAAUAGGAAACGCUUAUUUAAAAAUCUUCUCUGGCCAAAAAUUGAAUACGUAAUUUUAGGGCAAUAUGACGUGUUUUUGAGUGAUAAGCUGGAUUCUGAAAAGACAUUUAUUCAGUAAUGCUAUAAAGUAAUCAUAAUUCUUUUCACUAAUUGCAUUCA